Molecule: transfer RNA, 73 nt
Filed under: Salmo salar (Atlantic salmon)
Lineage: Eukaryota; Metazoa; Chordata; Actinopteri; Salmoniformes; Salmonidae
Rfam family: tRNA
About the family: Transfer RNA (tRNA) molecules are approximately 80 nucleotides in length. Their secondary structure includes four short double-helical elements and three loops (D, anti-codon, and T loops). Further hydrogen bonds mediate the characteristic L-shaped molecular structure. tRNAs have two regions of fundamental functional importance: the anti-codon, which is responsible for specific mRNA codon recognition, and the 3' end, to which the tRNAs corresponding amino acid is attached (by aminoacyl-tRNA synthetases). tRNAs cope with the degeneracy of the genetic code in two manners: having more than one tRNA (with a specific anti-codon) for a particular amino acid; and 'wobble' base-pairing, i.e. permitting non-standard base-pairing at the 3rd anti-codon position.
Source: Rfam by way of RNAcentral
GUCCCUGUGGCUCAGUUGGUAGAGCAUGGUUUGUGCACCGCCAGGGUUGUGGGUUUGAUUCCCACGGGGGGCC